GGCUCCAGCAGAGAUGUCCGAAAAUCUUCAAGAAGGGUUUCAUGGCCAGGAGGACGAAUCCAGCUCAAACAGGUUUCAAGGUAUGCACCGGAAGAGCAGCUCAAGGCACCUGAAGCGGGACAAAGAACAGGGGUAAAGAGGAGUCAAGCUCAGAAACUCUGGGGUGAACAGUAGCCCAAAGACCACAAAGGUGUAUCUGGUCUGAGGAGCACAUGGAGGAUCAGAGAAGCGCAUCUCUCUUCAUGGAGGUGGCAGAUUAUGUUGCUCCUCCCAUCCCCCUUGCAAGGACUUAAACCCAGACUGAGGCUGGCAGGGGCAUGGGAGACAUUCUGAGGCCCUCACCUCUCUCUAGGCCCCUUUGGAUAUCCUGUGCCUGGUCCUCAGUGAAACCCUGGGCCAGGCUUGCCCUCAGGGUAAUGAAGUUGCAGAUC
This is a long non-coding RNA of Eptesicus fuscus (big brown bat), 431 nucleotides long. RefSeq lists it as uncharacterized. The transcript has 3 exons. NCBI's taxonomy places the organism in Eukaryota, Metazoa, Chordata, Mammalia, Chiroptera, Vespertilionidae. The record is from RefSeq and is a predicted model, not a curated record.